Non-coding RNA from Schistosoma mansoni, 45 nucleotides. Lineage: Eukaryota; Metazoa; Platyhelminthes; Trematoda; Strigeidida; Schistosomatidae. The record is from Rfam.
AUCCAGCCACUGAGUCUCAAAUAGAACGAAACGCGUGUCCUGGAU